GUGAGCCGAUCGCUAAGGAGAUGGGGUUGCUCAUCGGAAGCGCGCGUUCCCAGCGAUUUCUGAAGGUGCGCCCAGGUGACGCGCAGAUUGUUUUGAGCCGCAGCUGUGGGCAAGUCGGGCCACAGCAAGCCCAGCAGGAAUUCGCGGCUGUGCGCGUGGCUCGACUCGAUCAGGAGGUAGGCCAGCAGCCCGAUCGCCUUGCGGUUGGUGAGGGUGAUCGCUCCCAACGGGCGAUGCGCGAUCUGCAACCGGCCGAGUAAAGACAGAAUCAGUUCAGGCAAGCUCGUCCCAAGUAAUGAUGAAUUAAUG
This 309-nucleotide unclassified non-coding RNA is filed under the name uncultured fungus. Its description in RNAcentral is "sequence contains ITS1". Lineage: Eukaryota; Fungi. The record is from RNAcentral.